CCUACGGGAGGCAGCAGUGGGGAAUAUUGCGCAAUGGGCGAAAGCCUGACGCAGCGACGCCGCGUGAGGGAUGAAGGUCUUCGGAACGUAAAGCUCUGUCAGCAGGGAAGAACGGUCACUGUGCUAAUCAGAAGAGAAUCGACGGAACCUGGAAAGGAAGGACCGGCUAACUCCGUGACAGCAGCCGCGGUAAUAAGGAGGGGGCGAGCGUUGAUCGGAAGUACUGGGCGUAAAGCGCUCGUAGACGGUAUGUCAAGUCAAGGGUGAAAUCCCCGCGCUCAACGUGGGAACUGCCUUUGAAACUGGCAAGCUAGAGUGUGUGAGAGGAUAGUGGAAUUCCAGGUGUAGGAGUGAAAUCCGUAGAUAUCUGGAGGAACAUCAGUGGCGAAGGCGACUAUCUGGCCCAUAGCUGACGCUGAGGAGCGAAAGCGUGGGUAGCAAACAGGAUUAGAUACCCCUGUAGUC
This 465-nucleotide ribosomal RNA is filed under the name uncultured bacterium. RNAcentral's name for it is "partial 16S ribosomal RNA". It matches the Rfam family "Bacterial small subunit ribosomal RNA", at positions 338 to 795 of the family's 1533-position model. The record is from RNAcentral.